RNAcentral lists this ribosomal RNA (177 nucleotides) under uncultured soil bacterium. RNAcentral describes it as "partial 16S ribosomal RNA". It matches the Rfam family "Bacterial small subunit ribosomal RNA", at positions 721 to 897 of the family's 1533-position model. The record is from RNAcentral.
GCGAUCAUCUGGGGUUGUUCUGACGCUGAAGAGCGAAAGCUAGGGGAGCAAACGGGAUUAGAUACCCCGGUAGUCCUAGCCGUAAACGUUGAGUGCUAGGUGUUAAGUGUAUGACCCAUUUAGUGCCGCAGGAAACCCAAUAAGCACUCCGCCUGGGGAGUACGGCCGCAAGGCUAA